Molecule: long non-coding RNA, 1084 nt
Organism: Daucus carota subsp. sativus
Lineage: Eukaryota; Viridiplantae; Streptophyta; Magnoliopsida; Apiales; Apiaceae
Exons: 4
Source: RefSeq, a predicted model, not a curated record
UUCCCCCCAAACACCAUCUCUCGACUUAGACUAAACACUCGCUACUCUUUCAACUUUCUCUGUCUUUUCUGCCGAAUUGAAGAAUGAUGGAUUGAAGACCGGGUGAUUACAAUUUCAUAGAUUGGGGCUUUUACAGUUGCUCCGAUUAAGAGGCGAUUGGGUUUCAUAGUAUAGCUAAUUAGGGUUCAAGCGAUUUGCAUUAAAGCUAAUUUGGUGUUUAAAGCUUGCAUUGAGGUGCAAUCUGUCCAAUUGGUGAGGACCUAGGUUAAUCAUAAUGGAACCUGAUUAUGAUUACAGCUGGAUAGGACUUCCAAGAUACAAUAAAGAAUAUAAGAUGGGGAUAAAAGCGUUUGUAGAUAAGGCAUUUCCUCUUUUUGGCGUAGGUGAUGAAAUGAAUUGUCCCUGCAGAGAUUGUAAUGAUCGUAAGUGGCAUAGUCAAGAUGUCAUUUAGGAUCAUCUCAUUUGUAGAGGACCUUCUCUAUUACAGGUUCAAUGGAUUUGUAAGAUUUCACAAGCCAAAGUAAAAAAUAGUACUAAUUCUAAGGAUUUUGAAGCCGGGAAUAGUUUUGGGGAUAAUGUAGAAGCGAUGUUUGAUUGUACGGGUAAGAGGUUUCAGAAUGUAGAACAUGGACCAAAUCCGGCUGCCAGAAAAUUUUAUCACCUUGUUGAAGAGGGAAAACAACCACUAUAGCCAGGCUGUACAAACUUUUCUCGGUUAAGUUUUAUGAUUAGACUUUAUCAUUUAAAGUGUAUUCAUGGAAUUACCGAAUCUGCCUUCGGGGAUCUACUAGGAUUAAUUAAAUCUGCCUUUCCUGAAGCCAAUGUUCCUUUAUCUUUCAAUGCUGCGAAGAACAUCAUCAAAGACUUAGGUCUCGACUAUCAAAAAAUACAUGCAUGUCCAAAUAGUUGCAUGUUAUACAGGGCAGAAAAUAAAGAUAAACAAAUUUGUGAUAAUUGUGGGGUUUCGAGGUGGGUUUUACAAGAAAAGAAAGGUUGUGCGGCUAAUAAUGAUCCAAAGAAGUUGAUUAGCAAAGUGCCAGCAAAUGUCAUGAGGUAUUUUCCGUUGAAACCUAGGUUGCAAAGG